CUUGAGCGAGCCGACCCAGAGCGGACGGUCGACGGGGCGGUCCUUGCCGUAGGUGGCGAAGAGCGCCUGCGCCUC
RNAcentral lists this antisense RNA (75 nucleotides) under Salinispora tropica CNB-440. Its description in RNAcentral is "ASpks TB sRNA". It matches the Rfam family "ASpks TB sRNA". The record is from Rfam by way of RNAcentral. Lineage: Bacteria; Bacillati; Actinomycetota; Actinomycetes; Micromonosporales; Micromonosporaceae.